AUUGAACGCUGGCGGCAGGCCUAACACAUGCAAGUCGAGCGGAUGAAGGGAGCUUGCUCCUGGAUUCAGCGGCGGACGGGUGAGUAAUGCCUAGGAAUCUGCCUGUUAGUGGGGGAUAACGUCCGGAAACGGGCGCUAAUACCGCAUACGUCCUGAGGGAGAAAGUGGGGGAUCUUCGGACCUCACGCUAUCAGAUGAGCCUAGGUCGGAUUAGCUAGUUGGUGGGGUAAAGGCCUACCAAGGCGACGAUCCGUAACUGGUCUGAGAGGAUGAUCAGUCACACUGGGACUGAGACACGGUCCAGACUCCUACAGGAGGCAGAAGUGGGGACUAUUGGAAGAUGGGCGAAAGCCUGAUCCAGCCAUGCCGCGUGGGUGAAGAAGGUCUUCGUAUUGUAAAGCACUUUAAGUUGGGAGGAAGGGCAGUAAGUUAAUACCUUGCUGUUUUGACGUUACCAACAGAAUAAGCACCGGCUAACUUCGUG
Molecule: ribosomal RNA, 484 nt
Filed under: uncultured bacterium
Lineage: Bacteria
Description: partial 16S ribosomal RNA
Rfam family: Bacterial small subunit ribosomal RNA
Source: RNAcentral